AGAGUUUGAUCCUGGCUCAGGACGAACGCUGGCGGCGUGCGUAACACAUGCAAGUCGAACGGCGUCAUAGGCUUCGGUCUAGGGCGCAGUGGCGGACGGGUGAGUAACACGUGGAUAACCUGCCUUCGUGUGGGGGAUAGCCUUCAGAAAUGGGGGAUAAUACCGCAUAAGGUUCGUCGCGGAGGAGACUCCGGGACGAGGCAAAGCUCUUUUUGGUGAAAGCCGGGGGGUGGCGCGCGAAGAGGGGUCCGCGGCCGAUUAGCUAGUUGGUGGGGUAAGCGCCUACCAGGGCGACGAUCGGUAGCUGGUCUGAGAGGACGAUCAGCCACACUGGGAUUGAGAACGGCCCAGACUCCUACGGGGGGCAGCAGUGAGGAAUUUUCGGCAAUGGGGGCAACCCUGACCGAGCAACGCCGCGUGCAGGACGACGGCCUUCGGGUUGUAAACUGCUUUUCUCUGGGACGAGCAAGGACGGUACCAGAGGAAGAAGCCCCGGCUAACUACGUGCCAGCAGCCGCGGUAAUACGUAGGGGGCGAGCGUUGUCCGGAGUUACUGGGCGUAAAGCGCACGCAGGCGGUCAGGCAGGUGUGGGGUGACAGUGGUCGGCUUAACCGACCGAGUGCCUCGCAAACGGCGUGACUUGAGGGCCACAGAGGGACAUGGAACUCCAGGUGUAGUGGUGAAAUGCGUAGAUAUCUGGAAGAACACCAAAGGCGAAGGCAGUGUCCUGGGUGGUACCUGACGCUGAUGUGCGAAAGCCAGGGGAGCGAACGGGAUUAGAUACCCCGGUAGUCCUGGCCGUAAACGAUGACCACUAGAUGUGUGGGGUAUCGACCCCCUGCGUGUCGGAGUUAACGCAAUAAGUGGUCCGCCUGGGGAGUACGGUCGCAAGAUUAAAACUUAAAGGAAUUGACGG
Molecule: ribosomal RNA, 917 nt
Filed under: uncultured bacterium
Lineage: Bacteria
Description: bacterial SSU rRNA
Rfam family: Bacterial small subunit ribosomal RNA
Source: RNAcentral